Molecule: transfer RNA, 70 nt
Filed under: Platemys platycephala
Lineage: Eukaryota; Metazoa; Chordata; Testudines; Chelidae
Description: tRNA-Val
Source: RNAcentral
CAAGACAUAGCUUAAAUUUUAAAGCACCCAGCUUACACCUGAAAAACGCCUAAUGACAAGGCUGUCUUGA